This 508-nucleotide ribosomal RNA is filed under the name uncultured bacterium. RNAcentral describes it as "partial 16S ribosomal RNA". It matches the Rfam family "Bacterial small subunit ribosomal RNA", at positions 28 to 523 of the family's 1533-position model. The record is from RNAcentral.
GAUGAACGCUAGCUACAGGCUUAACACAUGCAAGUCGAGGGGAAACGACGUCGAAAGCUUGCUUUUGAUGGGCGUCGACCGGCGCACGGGUGAGUAACGCGUAUCCAACCUGCCCACCACUUGGGGAUGACCUUGCGAAAGUAAGACUAAUACCCAAUGAUAUCUCUAGAAGACAUCUGAAAGAGAUUAAAGAUUUAUCGGUGAUGGAUGGGGAUGCGUCUGAUUAGCUUGUUGGCGGGGUAACGGCCCACCAAGGCAACGAUCAGUAGGGGUUCUGAGAGGAAGGUCCCCCACAUUGGAACGGAGACACGGUCCAAACUCCUACGGGAGGCAGCAGUGAGGAAUAUUGGUCAAUGGACGAGAGUCUGAACCAGCCAAGUAGCGUGCAGGAUGACGGCCCUAUGGGUUGUAAACUGCUUUUAUAAGGGAAUAAAGUGAGUCUCGUGAGGCUUUUUGCAUGUACCUUAUGAAUAAGGACCGGCUAAUUCCGUGCCAGCAGCCGCCGUAA